RNAcentral lists this ribosomal RNA (3099 nucleotides) under Drosophila miranda. Its description in RNAcentral is "eukaryotic LSU rRNA". The stretch from base 1 to 2649 matches the Rfam family "Eukaryotic large subunit ribosomal RNA". Lineage: Eukaryota; Metazoa; Arthropoda; Insecta; Diptera; Drosophilidae. The record is from RNAcentral.
CCAACGCUUUACCAGAGAGACACGAAAGCAAAUGGUUGAACUUUUCAAUAAUUGGAGUGCUUUCGUCAUUGUGAACCAGAGUCUCAAAUAAACCUAUGAAGUUUUUAAAGUCCGAAAAGUUGCCGCUGAAGUUUCUAGUAUGAGAAAUUAUCGAUUUAAGUCCUUCUUAAAUGAGGCCAUUUACCCAUAGAGGGUGCCAGGCCGGUAUAACGUUAAUGAUUACUAGAUGAUGUUUCCAAAGAGUCGUGUUGCUUGAUAGUGCAGAGGGUGGUAAACUCCAUCUAAAACUAAAUAUAACCAUGAGACCGAUAGUAAACAAGUACUUUGAGAGAAAGUUGAAAAGAACUCUGAAUAGAGAGUUAAACAGUACGUGAAACUGCUUAGAGGUUAAGCCCGAUGAACCUGAAUAUUCGUUAUGGAAAAUUCAUCAUUAAAAUUGUAAUAUUUUAAAAAUAUUAUAAUAAUAGUGUGCAUUUUUUCCAUAUAAGGACAUUGUAAUCUAUUAGCAUAAAACAAAUAUGUCAUAAAAUAUGACUUAUAGUUUAUUCAAAUUAUUAUGAUUGCAUUUUAACAUAGAGUAAAUGUCAUUAAUUUGAUAAAGUGUUGAUAAACUAAAAUUAAUACAGUGCGUUAAUUUUUCGAAAUUAUAUAAUGGCAUAAUUAUCAUUGAUUUUUGUGUUUAUUAUAUGCAUUUGUAUGAUUAACAAUGCGAAAGAUUCAGGAUACCUUCGGGACCCGUCAUGAAACACGGACCAAGGAGCCUAACAUAUGUGCAGGUUAUUGGGAGAUAAACCUAAUAGCGUAAUUAACUUGACUUAUAAUGGGAUUAGUUUUUUAACUAUUUAUAGAUAAUUAACACAAUCCCGGGGCGUUCUAUAUAGUUAUGUAUAAUAAUAUUUAUAUUAUUUAUGCCUCUAACUGGAACGUACCUUGAGCAUAUAUGCUGUGACCCGAAAGAUGGUGAACUAUACUUGAUCAGGUUGAAGUCAGGGGAAACCCUGAUGGAAGACCGAAACAGUUCUUACGUGCAAAUCGAUUGUAAGAAUUGAGUAUAGGGGCGAAAGACCAAUCGACCAAUCCUUCCGAAGUUUCCCUCAGGAUAGCUGGUGCAUUUUAAUGUUAUAUAAAAUAAUCUUAUCUGGUAAAGCGAAUGAUUAGAGGCCUUAGGGUCGAAACGAUCGUAGCCUAUUCUCAAACUUUAAAUGGGUAAGAACCUUAACUUUCUUGAUAUGAAGUUUAAGGAUAUGAUAUAAUGUGCCCAGUGGGCCACUUUUGGUAAGCAGAACUGGCGCUGUGGGAUGAACCAAACGUAAUGUUACGGUGCCCAAAUUAACAAAUCAUGCAGAAACCAUGAAAGGCGAUGGUUGCUUAAAACAGCAUGACGGUGAUCAUGGAAGUCGAAACACGCUAAGGAGUGUGUAACAACUCACCUGCCGAAGCAACUAGCCCUUAAAAUGGAUGUCGCUUAAGCUGUAUACUUAUACAUUACCGCUAAAGUAGAUGAUUUAUAUUACUUGUGAUAUAAAUUUGGAAACUUUAGUGUUUGGCGUAAGCCUUCAUGGAGCUGCCAUUGGCACAGAUCUUGGUGGUAGUAGCAAAUAAUCGAAUGAGACCUUGGAGGACUGAAGUGGAGAACGGUUUCGUGUGAACAGUGGUUGAUCACCAGUUAGUCGGUCCUAAGUUCAAGGCGAAAGCCGAAAAUUUUCAAGUAAAAAAUCAGUGAGUAAUAUUGUCAAAUCUUUUAUGAUUUUUAAAUACUUGAAUAAUUUUGAACGAAAGGGAAUACCGUUCCAAUUCCGUAACCUGUUGAGUAUCCGUUUGUUAUUAAAUAUGGGCCUCGUGCUCAUCCUGGCAACAGGAACGACCAUAAAGAAGCCGUCGAGAGAUAUCGGAAGAGUUUUCUUUUCUGUUUUAUAGCCGUACUACCAUGGAAGUCUUUCGCAGAGAGAUAUGGUAGAUGGGCUAGAAGAGCAUGACAUAUACUGUUGUGUCGAUAUUUUCUCCUCGGACCUUGAAAAUUUAUGGUGGGGACACGCAAACUUCUCAACAGGCCGUACCAAUAUCCGCAGCUGGUCUCCAAGGUGAAGAGUCUCUAGUCGAUAGAAUAAUGUAGGUAAGGGAAGUCGGCAAAUUAGAUCCGUAACUUCGGGAUAAGGAUUGGCUCUGAAGAUUGAGAUAGUCGGGCUUGAUUGGGAAACAAUAAAAUGGUUUAUGUGCUCGUUCUGGGUAAAUAGAGUUUCUAUCAUUUAUGGUAGUUACUUGUUCCCCGGAUAGUUUAGUUACGUAGCCAACUGUGGAACUUUCUUGCUAAAAUUUUUAAGAAUACUAAUUGGGUAAAAACAGUUAGUUCUUAUUAAUUAUAACGAUUAUCAAUUAACAAUCAAUUCAGAACUGGCACGGACUUGGGGAAUCCGACUGUCUAAUUAAAACAAAGCAUUGUGAUGGCCGUAGCGGGUGUUGACACAAUGUGAUUUUUGCCCAGUGCUCUGAAUGUCAAAGUGAAGAAAUUCAAGUAAGCGCGGGUCAACGGCGGGAGUAACUAUGACUCUCUUAAGGAAGAUAUGGAUCUGAAUAAUAGCGUAGAAGGGGAUUUAUUCCGUAAUUCGUAAAUCGUAAAAAUCAGAUCAAGUUGAUUCAAGAUCUCCUCGUGGUAUCUUCUGGAUGCUAUUAGACUGAAUUUAUUUAGUCUAAUAGUAACUAACUUGAACAGCGAGACAGUCCCUGGGGUUGCCAUCCCCUUGGACGGUUCAUUUUGAUUGGUACAAAUAUGGAAAAUAUAACGCCUCGGAUGACAAUAUCGAUUUCGUUGACGAACCAAAUCCCUACGGUUUCUAGCCUAGUGGCCCAAUCUGAACAUAGUGCACAGGUUAACCCAAACAGUGGUUACCAAUGCACGAUAUGUGAAGCGUCUUUCCGUAGCAAAAGCGGACUAGGCGUUCAUAUGUCACGUCGACACAAAGACGAGUUUGAUCAACUUCGUCUUCGUACCGACAAGAAGGCACAAUGGAGUGAGGAAGAGUUGAGUAUGAUGGCAAGAAAAGAGAUCGAGCUCGCAGCAAAUGGAGAAAGAUUUCUAAAUAAGAAGCUAGCGGAAGUAUU